GCCCCGGCCACAAGAGCAGGGACGCAGUGAAGGAGGGCGCUGUGCUUUGCAGAAGUCGUGUCAGAACCCCCACCCCUGGCUGUGGUCCUUUCCGACGCCUGCCAGCCCCAUGGGGGUCCGAGCAGAGCUGUGCCUCCCAGGGGCUCAGCCACCGCCUUUUCCAGAAGUGGGUCACCAGGCCUUUCUUCCAAGACAUCUCUUGGAAGAUUCGAAGGGCUUGCUUGGGGCUUCAUGGCUCCGGAUUAAAAAGGCAGCGAGAUUGAUGGCAGCAAAGACUUCUUGGGGCCACCUGAAGAUAAAGCCACUCAGGAAUGAGAGCCAGCACCGGAGUCUGGGCCCUCACUCCAGCUGCCGUCUGAUGUGGGAGCCGUGUGCGAGCGCCGUGGACAGGCCGGCUCGGCCCCAGCCCUUCCUCCAGCAGCUCCGCCCGGAUCAAAGUGGAGAGCAGCUCGGCUUUUAUAGCAGAAUGAUUAAAACCACGUGGGGCUGGUUUCCUCACACGUGACCCCCCCAAAAAAGUGCAACAAAGUGGGGGGCAGAGAGAAGGUGAACCAAGGGGUCUCUCAACCCAGGGAGGAGGGGAGGUCACGGAGGAUAUGCGCACACGUGCUGCUUACACACACUAACGCAAAGCCCACAGACAUACGUGUACAUGCCAAAAUCAUGUCUUUUCUCUGCAAGUUGGAACAAAAGCCCCAAAAUCAAGCAGCCGGAGGCCCUGAGAGGGCAGGUUCUCACUCACUGCCAGGGAGUCGAUGGCCACUCACAGUGGCCCUAUAG
This is a long non-coding RNA of Echinops telfairi (small Madagascar hedgehog), 780 nucleotides long. RefSeq lists it as uncharacterized. Lineage: Eukaryota; Metazoa; Chordata; Mammalia; Afrosoricida; Tenrecidae. The transcript is spliced from 3 exons. The record is from RefSeq and is a predicted model, not a curated record.